This 1483-nucleotide ribosomal RNA is filed under the name Klebsiella pneumoniae. Its description in RNAcentral is "bacterial SSU rRNA". It matches the Rfam family "Bacterial small subunit ribosomal RNA". The record is from RNAcentral. Lineage: Bacteria; Pseudomonadati; Pseudomonadota; Gammaproteobacteria; Enterobacterales; Enterobacteriaceae.
ACUUAAAUUGAAGAGUUUGAUCAUGGCUCAGAUUGAACGCUGGCGGCAGGCCUAACACAUGCAAGUCGAGCGGUAGCACAGAGAGCUUGCUCUCGGGUGACGAGCGGCGGACGGGUGAGUAAUGUCUGGGAAACUGCCUGAUGGAGGGGGAUAACUACUGGAAACGGUAGCUAAUACCGCAUAACGUCGCAAGACCAAAGUGGGGGACCUUCGGGCCUCAUGCCAUCAGAUGUGCCCAGAUGGGAUUAGCUAGUAGGUGGGGUAACGGCUCACCUAGGCGACGAUCCCUAGCUGGUCUGAGAGGAUGACCAGCCACACUGGAACUGAGACACGGUCCAGACUCCUACGGGAGGCAGCAGUGGGGAAUAUUGCACAAUGGGCGCAAGCCUGAUGCAGCCAUGCCGCGUGUAUGAAGAAGGCCUUCGGGUUGUAAAGUACUUUCAGCGGGGAGGAAGGCAUUGACGUUACCCGCAGAAGAAGCACCGGCUAACUCCGUGCCAGCAGCCGCGGUAAUACGGAGGGUGCAAGCGUUAAUCGGAAUUACUGGGCGUAAAGCGCACGCAGGCGGUCUGUCAAGUCGGAUGUGAAAUCCCCGGGCUCAACCUGGGAACUGCAUUCGAAACUGGCAGGCUAGAGUCUUGUAGAGGGGGGUAGAAUUCCAGGUGUAGCGGUGAAAUGCGUAGAGAUCUGGAGGAAUACCGGUGGCGAAGGCGGCCCCCUGGACAAAGACUGACGCUCAGGUGCGAAAGCGUGGGGAGCAAACAGGAUUAGAUACCCUGGUAGUCCACGCCGUAAACGAUGUCGAUUUGGAGGUUGUGCCCUUGAGGCGUGGCUUCCGGAGCUAACGCGUUAAAUCGACCGCCUGGGGAGUACGGCCGCAAGGUUAAAACUCAAAUGAAUUGACGGGGGCCCGCACAAGCGGUGGAGCAUGUGGUUUAAUUCGAUGCAACGCGAAGAACCUUACCUGGUCUUGACAUCCACAGAACUUAGCAGAGAUGCUUUGGUGCCUUCGGGAACUGUGAGACAGGUGCUGCAUGGCUGUCGUCAGCUCGUGUUGUGAAAUGUUGGGUUAAGUCCCGCAACGAGCGCAACCCUUAUCCUUUGUUGCCAGCGGUCCGGCCGGGAACUCAAAGGAGACUGCCAGUGAUAAACUGGAGGAAGGUGGGGAUGACGUCAAGUCAUCAUGGCCCUUACGACCAGGGCUACACACGUGCUACAAUGGCCGUCGUAGUCCGGAUUGGAGUCUGCAACUCGACUCCAUGAAGUCGGAAUCGCUAGUAAUCGUAGAUCAGAAUGCUACGGUGAAUACGUUCCCGGGCCUUGUACACACCGCCCGUCACACCAUGGGAGUGGGUUGCAAAAGAAGUAGGUAGCUUAACCUUCGGGAGGGCGCUUACCACUUUGUGAUUCAUGACUGGGGUGAAGUCGUAACAAGGUAACCGUAGGGGAACCUGCGGUUGGAUCACCUCCUUACCUUAAAGAA